This 398-nucleotide ribosomal RNA is filed under the name uncultured Glomeraceae. RNAcentral's name for it is "eukaryotic LSU rRNA". Lineage: Eukaryota; Fungi; Glomeromycota; Glomeromycetes; Glomerales; Glomeraceae. The record is from RNAcentral.
GUGAAAUUGUUGAAAGGGAAACGAUUGAAGUCAGUCAUACCAACGGGAAAUCAACCUUUUGUAGUUUGGUCUCGUGGGUUUUGAAGAGUUUUAAAAGCCUUCGGAUUUUCGAGAUUGGGUUCUUCUGGUGUACUUUCUCGUAUGGUAGGUUAACAUCAAUUUCGAUCGUUAUAAAAUGACUGGAGGAAUGUAGCUUCGACUUCGGUUGAAGUGUUAUAGCCUUUGGUAGAUGUAAUGAUUGGGAUUGAGAAUUGCAACGGAUACCCUCUGGGCUAUUCGUCUGAUCUCUGGAAGUUACCUUGGUGUCGAAAGCGUGCUUACGAUAUUAAGGUUGACGGCCAAUAGGUUAGAACGUGAUUAAAUUCGUUAAGGAUGUUGACGUAAUGGCUUUAAACGAC